GGGUGCUUUCGCUAAUCUUCCUCUAGGGUUGGCUCCAGGCAUGGGCGCAAACGCUUAUUUCGCUUACACAGUCGUUGGGUUUCACGGGUCUGGUAAUGUUUCAUAUGGGAGCGCAUUAGCUGCAGUUUUCAUGGAAGGUUUGAUCUUUUUAGCGAUAUCUGCAAUUGGGUUGCGAGCACAACUCGCGAAACUCAUCCCAAAACCGGUUCGGAUCAGCU
This 218-nucleotide unclassified non-coding RNA is filed under the name Hevea brasiliensis (rubber tree). Lineage: Eukaryota; Viridiplantae; Streptophyta; Magnoliopsida; Malpighiales; Euphorbiaceae. The record is from RNAcentral.